Molecule: ribosomal RNA, 348 nt
Filed under: Triticum aestivum (bread wheat)
Lineage: Eukaryota; Viridiplantae; Streptophyta; Magnoliopsida; Poales; Poaceae
Description: partial small subunit ribosomal RNA
Source: RNAcentral
AUGGCUGGGGCUAGGCAGAAUCAAGGUGCUAGAGGGGGGAGAUAUGGAGCUGGCCGUAGCCGCAUUGACACUGCUCGCCCUCCAGCCCCUGUGCAGCAACAGCCUGUCGCCGCUCAAGUGAAUCCUGUUUGGGCGCCAAUCUCCUCACCAUUGCCUUCUCAGCAUGCCCCUCCCAUUUCCAUCUAUGCCAAACCUCCCAUUGUUCCACUUGGAGCUAGUUCUCCCAGUAUGCUACACCCAGCUAUGAACCAGAUCUACACUGGUUUUCCUACCUCUAAUUACCAAUUCCCCCAAAUGGCUCCAUGGAUGCAACAACCUCAAUCGCAUUCCCCCUACAUGCCACCAUAA